RNAcentral lists this transfer RNA (85 nucleotides) under Felis catus (domestic cat). It matches the Rfam family "tRNA". Rfam says of the family: Transfer RNA (tRNA) molecules are approximately 80 nucleotides in length. Their secondary structure includes four short double-helical elements and three loops (D, anti-codon, and T loops). The record is from Rfam by way of RNAcentral. Lineage: Eukaryota; Metazoa; Chordata; Mammalia; Carnivora; Felidae.
GCCUGGGUGGCUCAGUCGGUUGAGCGUCUGACUUUGGCUCAGGUCAUGAUCUCGCAGUCAGUGAGUUCGAGCCCCGCAUUGGGCU